UCAAUGAGCAGCGGGCCCGCGU
This 22-nucleotide unclassified non-coding RNA is filed under the name Chlamydomonas reinhardtii. RNAcentral describes it as "small RNA Cre_2460". Lineage: Eukaryota; Viridiplantae; Chlorophyta; Chlorophyceae; Chlamydomonadales; Chlamydomonadaceae. The record is from RNAcentral.